UAUAUAAAGAUUUAUUGUUCGUCAAACGUCUGUACGACUGAAGGCUGAACCCUUGUUUCUGUACGUGCCGUAUUUGGAAAACGCCCACCAGCGACAGCACGCCCCCAAGCGACUCAUCGCCUGUUGGACAGGCGACACAGAGCGAUUUUAUCGCGUUCGGUGUGAACGUACAGUAAGGCUAGUGCAGCAGCUGAAGGUCAGGAAAGUUCAGCAGGUGGCACUUUGUUGACAUGCUCCCUUUGCUCCAAGAAAGUACUGGCUGACGAAUAUACACAACAUCUGUCGGACUUCCACGUUCAGGAGCAGUGUCAGCACUGUGGCACAAAGGCCAUGGGUGUUGUGGCUUUGUAAGAGCACCUUAAAAAAAAUGUGUUGAAAUCUUCCACAGACCUCGCAGACAUUUCUACUCCAACCCCUUCAGCCCUUCUCUCCACAACUCAAGCCCAGGAGAUGCCACCAAACAUCCACCUUGGAAGUGGAGAUGCUUCUGUUCCUGCCCCUUCUACAGUAUCUGAGAUGGUACCAGUGACUCAGAGUGGCAGGCCACUUCCUCCUUCCCCUGCUUCUGCUCCUGCUCCAGCUGCAUCACGGCUCCCAGUCCCUCAGCACUAUCCAGAGGUAAGCCGGGCCAGGUUCUUGUCAAAGCCGUUCCUCCAGGUCGUCAAGCCAGGUGACCAGGAGUGGAUUGCCCACAUCCUUUAUGAAGCAAAUGGGCAGCUGAGACAGGAUGUCAGGGAGAAUUGGCACCACCCCCCAAGCCCAGUCAGAUCUGUGGCACCUCCAAACCCACACAAUUAUUUUAGGCAGAGGAUGUUUUUGUGGGCACCAAUGUGCAUGUAGGGCAUCCCUUUGAAAUGCAUUUAAUGCAACCGCAAAAAGCACCACUCUGGGAUCUAUACCAAGGUGAGGGAGAUCAUUGAUGUGGACUCUAAGUAUUAUUUAAUAGGGGGAGAUUACAAACAAAUUGUGUGUAUACUUUUUUCCGCUUAAAUAAAGGUGACCAAAAAACUUGCUGGGAGAAUUGAGGAUACUGCAACGUGGAUGACGAACGUGGGGACUGAGUAUGGGCAAGUGCUAAACUAUGUCCUCACAACCGGUGAGGGGGCUUGACUGGAUGACCUGUGCCAGGGUAUUGUCCAACGAUACAGGGACGCUGGAGAGCCACAGCUGGUCACCAUUUAUGUGGAUAGGGACUGCUGUAGUAACAGAAGGUGGAGAUGCAAUGCGUUGCACAAGCAGACGUAUAUACUCGAGGGACUGUCAAGGUGGAAUUUGAACCGGUCAGCACAAGCACUUUCUAUGCCAGAAACCUCUAAAACAAGGUUGUAUAACAUCAGGCUGAUGUGAAAUGUUAAUGCGCUCAGCAACAAAGUGUUGGGAAGACUUCUUCCUCCAGAGUUUAUCCCACCAGGGAAACUUACAGAUGAGAAAAGUCUUCUGUUGAUGAUGAUCAGACUGAUACUGUGACAUUGUAGGCAAGUAAAGAAUCAUCUUUCACUUGGUGAAUACAUAUUGCAGGAGAGCAUAUUGCUGUCGAGUAUCUUCUGGCUUAGUCCAGGUAACAUUAUGUCAACUAAACCAGACGGUAAAGAAAACAUUUGAAAACUAAAAAACAAACAAACAAAAUGGAUGUACUCUUAUUAAUUACUUUAGGAAUUUGGAACCAGUGGCCCUAAGCCCCAGUCAGAUGCCAGGCCUCCAUUGGAGGAGAGUGAGGCCUCUGCUGGACACAUCCACUCUGCAUUGGAGGAGGCCGAUGCCUCUGCUGGGCCUGUCCACUCCCCAGUGGAAGAGAUCAAUGUCACUUCCAUAACUGAGAGUGAUGCCGCUACUAUGUUGCUUCCUUACCCCAUUCGAGGAAAGUGGGCCCUUCACACCAGCUCCGAUCCCCACCAGAUACACCCUCAAAAGCAAAAAGACAACUUUGCCAGAACCUUGGAGAGCUUCAUGCAAGCACAGUGGCUCUGCUCCAGGCCAGCAAGCAGCGGAGUGAUUGUUCAUGGUCCAUGGUCAGGCUGCUCACAGACCAGACCACAACAGAAUUUCAGUGUGUGUUGCUCUCAAGCUGUUUAAAGAAUACAGGGAAGCCAGAAAUAGGCCGAAGGCCAUACCCCAAUCCAUCAUCAUGGCGUACUCUCACAUCAAGCAGCUAGUUGAGGACUGCAGAGAGAUUGUGGACAGAACUGACCAGCUACUGGUGAACAUUAACAACACCACAGUGUCCUUUUGUUUUCUGUCUCUGCAGGCUGCAUGAUCGACAAAAGAGGACUAAACGGGACUCUUUGCUUCAGGGUGUGCAGCUUCCACUGCAGAUUGCCAUGGCUAAAGAAUCCCUUCUGGAGGCUCGUGACCUACCAUCACAGCCAGUUCAGCCUCAUAUAACUCUUUUGAAGUUCCAGGAGCUUGAGAACCGUGAGGGUGAGGCAAAGAUCCCCCAGCGAGACAGUACCAGAACACCAACACUAUUUGCCAUGGAGGGCUUGUCCGCCACCCUAACACACCACCAGAGCUGGACUUCUUUUCUUCAGGCACCCCUGCAGCACUCCCAGGAGUAAUCCUCUGCCUAUGAGCAACCCCUAGCUCCAGCACACACUGAAGGCUGCUCCAUUUAUCAGGCACCCUAGGCACACUCCAGUGUUUGGUACUAAAUGUAUUACUGUAAUAAAAGUCGGUGUUCAUCAAUUCAGUCUUGGCUGAGUUGUUCAAGUUACACACCUAAAAAUGUUUGUGUUUGCCCUGCUCAGGUUCAAAUCAUUUUAACUGUGUUUUUCCUUUUAUCAGAAGGGCAGGCCAUAGUUUGCUAUGCCCAUUUUGACUACAGUCACAUGAAAAUCCAGAAAUUUUAUAGGGAAGGUCGUGGGAAGAGGCUGUAGUCGUGGCUGAGUGGUUAAGGCGAUGGACUACAAAUCCAUUGGGGUCUCCUGCUGACUAUGUUUCACAGUUGAUUUUUGCGUAUAUUUGGUUGUUCUUGCUUUGCAUUUGCUCUGACUCUGACCACCAGCUUCCCUCUAAAUUUUCAGGAUUUUUAUGUGACUGUUGUCAAAAUGGGCAUAGCAAACUAUGGCAUGCCCUACUGACAAAAAGAACAACGCAGUUAAAAGGAUUUGAACCUGAGCAGGGCGACCCCAAACGUUUUCAGGUGUGUAACUGGCUGUCGAGCGGAAAACAUUUUCAUGUGUCAGCUCUAAUUAUUACCAGUGUAGAAGUUUAGUUAUGAUUUAAAACCCUUAUCUAUUGUAUGUUUACAAUAUUAACUCCAGCGUUCUCUCUCUCUCCUGUUUGGUGCAGCGGAGCAGCAUGGCAGAGGUCACGCCCCCCUUUGAACUGAUUGCUUUUAGCAAAAGGAAAUUGGCUGAUGUUUUUAGGCUCAAUUUACUUAAUUUUUCCCAUCUUAAU
Astyanax mexicanus (Mexican tetra) is the source of this 3396-nucleotide long non-coding RNA. RefSeq lists it as uncharacterized. The record is from RefSeq and is a predicted model, not a curated record. Lineage: Eukaryota; Metazoa; Chordata; Actinopteri; Characiformes; Acestrorhamphidae. The transcript is spliced from 5 exons.